GCUCACAUCACCACUGCCAUCACACAGGGUGGCCUAAAAGUUGUAGCCUACCUAUACUCCAGGUGGAGUAAUUAAGCCAAGAAACAUUAUAGUCUUUUUUUUUUUUUAAAUAUGUCGCAAAAAGAUCCAUGCAAGAAACAAGCCUGCAAGAGACAGAAGUGUUUACAAGCCAACAACUACAAGGAAUCCAAGUGUCAGGCUGUCAUCCAAGAACUGCGCAAGUGCUGUGCUCGGUACCCCAAAGGAAGAUCUCUCGUCUGCUCAGGAUUUGAGAAAGAGGAGGAAGAAAACCUGACACUGAAGUCUGGUUUAAAGCCUAGUUCUGAGGGAAGUUAAAUGCUGUUCCAGGUUUCCACCAAGCCUGCCUCAUUUAUACUGUGGA
Molecule: non-coding RNA, 382 nt
Organism: Castor canadensis (American beaver)
Lineage: Eukaryota; Metazoa; Chordata; Mammalia; Rodentia; Castoridae
Source: RefSeq, a predicted model, not a curated record